RNAcentral lists this long non-coding RNA (1311 nucleotides) under Ananas comosus (pineapple). Its description in RNAcentral is "long non-coding RNA (ACOM_LNC029487)". Lineage: Eukaryota; Viridiplantae; Streptophyta; Magnoliopsida; Poales; Bromeliaceae. The record is from RNAcentral.
UUUAAUACUCUGUUUCAUAUAAUGGGGAACAUUUAAUAAGGAUUCAAGCCCAUGCUCAAUAUUUAAUACUCUGUUUCAUAUAAUACUAGUGAAGGGCCGUGCUUUACAGAAGAUAGAAAUUGUAUGAGCAAUUGAUAAUAAGAGAAAAUUAAAUAUUUUCUUCUGUAUAUUAAGUGUCGCAUCCACCAAAAUGUUCUUUACUGUUGGCCCCGAAGAUGGGCCCAACGAUGCUCUCUCCGGUGAGAGAGAGAGAGAGAGGAAGAGAGACAAUGAUGUAUAGACAAAGAUGAGGGAGAGAGAAUUGAUGAAUUAAUUAGAGAUGGAAAUGUGAAAAUUAUAGAUACUGACGAACUGUUUAGAUACAUUAAUUAGAAGCCUAAUAGAGAAAAGAGAAAGGAUCAUGAUAAAUUAAUUAGUGAUAGAGGUGAGGAUUGUAGAUGGUAGUGGGAUUAUUUAGAUGCAUUAAUUAGAAGUUUGCUAGAGAUCACAACACUUAUGAGGAUAAAAGAAAACUUACUAUAUGGCAGAAAAUAUUAAAAAUUUAUAUAGCCUAAUAAAUAUGUAUAUAUAUAUAUAUAGAGAGAGAGAGAGAGAGAGAGAGAGAGAGAGAGAGAUAGUAAGGUUUCUUCUACUAGGUCUUAAUAAUGCUCAUGUGUUUAAUUUUUUGAGUUGAGCUGGAAUGCUAUUAGUAGCAAACGAGUUUCGUUGCCACUUAUUUUUUUUUGAUGAUAGAGCAACCAAAUCAACAAUCAGUACCAUUGAAUAUGAUGUCUACCACUUGAAUAAUUUAGAAACCAAAUUUUAAAUUUUUUUGACAUCAUUGACCUAAUUAUCAAAAGGUUUAAAAAUUUAUAAUUUAAUGGUCGAUAUAAGACGUUUUCUCAUUUAACGGUGUAAAGAUAUUCAAAUUAAUUGAAUUUUGGUUAGAAAAUUUUUUAAACUAUUUAGAAUAAGAUCUAUACUCUCGAUCUUGAUUAUAAGAUUCCUACAUCACUCUUUAGAGGAUAUUCAUUUUCAGCCGUUUAUUUUUGUGUCCACUUAAUGGACAAGAGAACAAUAUCGGAAAAGUAUGAAAUUUGGUUUCUAGAUGCUUCAAGUGGUAUAGAUCAUAUUCAAUUGUGCCGAUUGUCGAUUUGGAGGCUCCAUCAUCGAAAAAAAGGGCGGCGACAAAAUCCGUUUACUACCGAUAACAUUCCAGCUCAACUCUUAAUUUUUACACAUAUACAAAAUUUUGACAAAUAAAUCUCAAUCUCUCUCUCUCCUUCUCCCUCUAGAUCUCUCUACAUACCUCCAAUUGACAAUUUUCUAAAU